This 425-nucleotide ribosomal RNA is filed under the name uncultured bacterium. RNAcentral describes it as "bacterial SSU rRNA". It matches the Rfam family "Bacterial small subunit ribosomal RNA", at positions 356 to 774 of the family's 1533-position model. The record is from RNAcentral.
CGAGAAUCUUCCGCAAUGGGCGCAAGCCUGACGGAGCGACGCCGCGUGGAGGACGAAGGCCUUCGGGUUGUAAACUCCUGUCACGGGUUAUGAAUGGCGCAGUGUGAACAAUGCUGCGAUUGACGUAAGCCCGAGAGGAAGCACUGGCUAACUCUGUGCCAGCAGCCGCGGUAAUACAGAGAGUGCAAACGUUGUUCGGAAUCACUGGGCAUAAAGCGCACGUAGGCGGCGCCACAAGUGCGGGGUGAAAUCCCACGGCUCAACCGUGGAACUGCCUUUGAUACUGCUUAGCUUGAAUCCGGGAGAGGGUGGCGGAAUUCCAGUGGUAGGAGUGAAAUCCGUAGAUAUCUGGAGGAACAUCAGUGGCGAAGGCGGCCACCUGGACCGGUAUUGACGCUGAGGUGCGAAAGCGUGGGGAGCAAACA